Molecule: transfer RNA, 62 nt
Filed under: Mendozana platypleura
Lineage: Eukaryota; Metazoa; Arthropoda; Insecta; Hemiptera; Cicadidae
Description: tRNA-Asp
Source: RNAcentral
GAGAAAUUAUUUUAAUUAAAAUAUAAAUCUGUCAGAUUUAAGUUACCUCAAGGUAUUUCUUU